CUUAAACCAAAAUUGGGAAUCGGUGCUAGCAAUCUGGAACUCCGAUUUGACGCUACGACAAAAGGUUCUACUGCAAAACUCAGCUGUAUUGGCCAAAUUCCGCUAUGUCUUCAUCAACUACCUUAUGGGUGGCGGAUGGCUAGAUGCGGAACUGAAAGCCAGCCGAGACCUGGACACCAAGGUCAGGCAAUGGCUUGUCACAGCAAAAGCGAGAUAUGCCCAUAGUAGAAUCUGCCGAUUAUAUUUGCCACGCAGGGAAGGAGGAUUUGGACUUCGGAGCAUAGAGGUUGAGCUACUCAUCUCCAAGAUUUACGCGUAUGCGUACGUUUUGCUGCAACCGAGUCUACAACCCCUUAACCAACUGUGUCAAAGAAUGACUAGAAGUUCAAAAAGAAACCUCCAGUCUGAUUUUGACAAAAUUGUUAGCAAAUAUAAACUGACAAUUCGGAACUCCGAGGAUGGUGGUAUCGUAUUCUGUGAAAACGGAGUCCCCAUCCUGGAGAACCCCACCUCAUCCCGGACUUUGGCCCGGACUAUCAUCACGCGUAUCAAGGAUACAUAUAUCCAGGAAUGGCGAAAAGAAUGGACCGAUGGGCGAAGGACAGACCGAGGAGAAGCAACUCGAUCUGCCGAAAUUCUUAGGUUGGGCCAUGUAGACCUCGAAGCUAGCUGGUAUUGGCUAAAGGUGGGACAUCUGAAUACAAUGUCAGUCCGAAACAUCAUUGCCUGUCAGGAAGGCUGUCUUCUAACGAGGACGCAUUUCAGCAAUACUACACGCGGAAAAACGUGUAGGUACAAAUGCUGGAUCACUCACCCUGGCCAGGUCUCAGGGUGCCCUCGAUGGAGAGCAACGCUGAUGUAUCAAAGACAUGACAGCGUUGCCAGGGUACUGCACUACAAUUAUUGUAUAAAGUAUGGGCUAAAACCCAUACACUAUACACAACAAAUACCUCAUCUCUUGCAGAAUGAAAAGGUUAAAUUGUGGUGGAACGAGAAAAUGGAUACUGUCAAUCCCAUCGAACAUUGUGUACCAGACUUGGCCGUGUUCGACCUCGUCGAGAAAACCAUUCUCGUAAUAGAGGUGACAGUUGCCUGGGUAUCAGGUCUUGAGACCGCAGAACAUAGGAAGAUUCGGAAAUAUACGAUAAACUCCAAUCUCCCAGACGAUUACAACGGUCAACCGACGAUUGGUCCUAAUCUUAUGAACGAGCUGAAAAACACUCACCGCGACUGGAAAGCUGACUUCGUUCCAGUAGUCAUCGGUUGUUGUGGUGAGAUAACCAAAAGCUUCGUUGAACGAUAUGAGAUGUUAGGACUACCGCUGAGCGAUAAGACGGAGAUAAUAGCUAGAAUGUGUAGAUCAGCGGUGCUCGGCUCGGAUAGAAUCAUCCGAACUCACUUGGCACGUGAGGAAUGAGACGUCGUGUCACUCGAACACAGUGACAAAGAGCGCCAAGUAAAUAGACCCUUAGGUCACAACUCUUGGCAAGUUUCUAGGCUCAAAACAAGGGUUACAGGCGUUUACGCCUGUCCAUCUUUAGACUUCGGUCUAAUAAGUCAGACCUCAAGAAGGUCGGCCCUCCCUUGAAUUGUUUCUUGGUGAGGUGCACUGCAUCGAGUAUCCUCGGAUCAGAGGUGCAGGCAGGCUGGCCGGUGACGGCCAGAACCCUACGGGACGCGCAUGAAUGGAUUAACGAGAUUCCCACUGUCCCUAUCUACUAUCUAGCGAAACUACAGCCAAGGGAACGGGCUUGGCGAAAACAGCGGGGAAAGAAGCCCUGUUGAGCUUGACUCUAGUUCGACUCUGUGAUGAGUCUUAGAGGUGUAGCAUAAGUGGGAGAUCUUCGGAUCGCAAGUGAAAUACCACUACUUUCAACGAUUUUUUACUUACUCGAUUAGACGACGCCUUUAUGUGUUUUGGGUUUAAACGUUGGCACUUGGUGCUAGCGUGAGUCGCGUCGAGAAAAAAGUCAGACGGGGAGUUUGACUGGGGCGGUACAUCUAUCAAAUCGUAACGUAGGUGUCCUAAGGCUGGCUCAGAGAGGUUGGAAACCUUUCGUAGAGUAAAAGGGCAAAAGCGAGCUUGAUCUAGAUUUUCAGUACGAAUACAGACCGUGAAAGCGUGGCCUAUCGAUCCUGUUGAUUUGAAAAGUUUUCAGUAAGAGGUGUCAGAAAAGUUACCACAGGGAUAACUGGCUUGUGGCAGCCAAGCGUCCAUAGCGACGUUGCUUUUUGAUCCUUCGAUGUCGGCUCUUCCUAUCAUUGAGAAGCAGAAUUCUCCAAGCGUUGGAUUGUUCACCCACUAAUAGGGAACGUGAGCUGGGUUUAGACCGUCGUGAGACAGGUUAGUUUUACCCUACUGUUGACUAAUUUAAAGGUUGUUGAAAGAGGAAUCGUGUCCAGUACGAGAGGAACCGCUGGUUCAGACAUUUGGUUAAGUGCCUAGGUGAGAGGCUAAAGGGGCGACGCUACCAUCUGACUAAUUAUGACUGAACGCCUCUAAGUCAGAAUUGGAGCUCGUUAAGUAAACAAUAGCAAUGGCUUCCUGAUGUCGGGAGGCUGCUUUAUCUGGUACUUUGGUGCUAGAACUUUUGCCCUAGUUUUGACUUGACUCGAUCGCUUAAGUGUGGUCGAGUUGUUGAAGCCGGAGUUUACUCUGGCGGAAAUGUCGGGGCGCAAAUUCGUUUGAAGACGACUUAAUCACUGAUCGAGGGGUUGUUAUCGUUCGAGCAUUCUUUCUUUGCGAGACGUUGAGACUUCCUUUUGAUCGGUUUGAAUUGUUUAA
RNAcentral lists this ribosomal RNA (2785 nucleotides) under Steinernema carpocapsae. RNAcentral describes it as "eukaryotic LSU rRNA". The stretch from base 1348 to 2779 matches the Rfam family "Eukaryotic large subunit ribosomal RNA", at positions 1891 to 3399 of the family's 3401-position model. The record is from RNAcentral. Lineage: Eukaryota; Metazoa; Nematoda; Chromadorea; Rhabditida; Steinernematidae.